This 253-nucleotide ribosomal RNA is filed under the name uncultured bacterium. Its description in RNAcentral is "partial 16S ribosomal RNA". It matches the Rfam family "Bacterial small subunit ribosomal RNA", at positions 524 to 776 of the family's 1533-position model. The record is from RNAcentral.
UACGAAGGGGGCGAGCGUUGUUCGGAUUUACUGGGCGUAAAGGGCGCGCAGGCGGUCUUGUUUGUCGAGUGUGAAAGCCCCGGGCUCAACCUGGGAACUGCGCUCGAAACGGCGGGACUAGAGAUCGGGAGAGGAGAGUGGAAUUCCCAGUGUAGAGGUGAAAUUCGUAGAUAUUGGGAAGAACACCAGUGGCGAAGGCGGCUCUCUGGACCGAUACUGACGCUGAGGCGCGAAAGCGUGGGGAGCAAACAGG